UGCAAGUCGAGCGGACAGAUGGGAGCUUGCUCCCUGAUGUUAGCGGCGGACGGGUGAGUAACACGUGGGUAACCUGCCUGUAAGACUGGGAUAACUCCGGGAAACCGGGGCUAAUACCGGAUGGUUGUUUGAACCGCAUGGUUCAGACAUAAAAGGUGGCUUCGGCUACCACUUACAGAUGGACCCGCGGCGCAUUAGCUAGUUGGUGAGGUAACGGCUCACCAAGGCAACGAUGCGUAGCCGACCUGAGAGGGUGAUCGGCCACACUGGGACUGAGACACGGCCCAGACUCCUACGGGAGGCAGCAGUAGGGAAUCUUCCGCAAUGGACGAAAGUCUGACGGAGCAACGCCGCGUGAGUGAUGAAGGUUUUCGGAUCGUAAAGCUCUGUUGUUAGGGAAGAACAAGUGCCGUUCAAAUAGGGCGGCACCUUGACGGUACCUAACCAGAAAGCCACGGCUAACUACGUGCCAGCAGCCGCGGUAAUACGUAGGUGGCAAGCGUUGUCCGGAAUUAUUGGGCGUAAAGGGCUCGCAGGCGGUUUCUUAAGUCUGAUGUGAAAGCCCCCGGCUCAACCGGGGAGGGUCAUUGGAAACUGGGGAACUUGAGUGCAGAAGAGGAGAGUGGAAUUCCACGUGUAGCGGUGAAAUGCGUAGAGAUGUGGAGGAACACCAGUGGCGAAGGCGACUCUCUGGUCUGUAACUGACGCUGAGCGUGGGGAGCGAACAGCGCCGUAANCGAUGAGUGCUAAGUGUUAGG
RNAcentral lists this ribosomal RNA (758 nucleotides) under Bacillus subtilis. RNAcentral's name for it is "bacterial SSU rRNA". It matches the Rfam family "Bacterial small subunit ribosomal RNA", at positions 56 to 827 of the family's 1533-position model. The record is from RNAcentral. Lineage: Bacteria; Bacillati; Bacillota; Bacilli; Caryophanales; Bacillaceae.